UGGGGAUUUUGUUAAAAUGCAGAUUCUGAUUCAACAGGUCUGAGAAUCUGCUUUGCUAACAAACCCCCUAAGUCAUGUAGAGGUGCU
RNAcentral lists this microRNA precursor (87 nucleotides) under Mustela putorius furo (domestic ferret). Its description in RNAcentral is "miRNA (ENSMPUG00000020864.1)". Lineage: Eukaryota; Metazoa; Chordata; Mammalia; Carnivora; Mustelidae. The record is from RNAcentral.